UACGCGGCUUUUCGAAAUAUUCCGGCAAAAUAUCGGCGGGGACACCAGAAAUGUGCCUCACACAUGGAACCCAUUUAAGGAAUCAAACCCUGGUCUUCGGCGUG
Molecule: long non-coding RNA, 104 nt
Organism: Haliotis rubra (blacklip abalone)
Lineage: Eukaryota; Metazoa; Mollusca; Gastropoda; Lepetellida; Haliotidae
Exons: 3
Source: RefSeq, a predicted model, not a curated record